AUUGAACGCUGGCAGCAGGCCUAACACAUGCAAGUCGAGCGGAUGAGAGGAGCUUGCUCCUGGAUUCAGCGGCGGACGGGUGAGUAAUGCCUAGGAAUCUGCCUGGUAGUGGGGGACAACGUUUCGAAAGGAACGCUAAUACCGCAUACGUCCUACGGGAGAAAGCAGGGGACCUUCGGGCCUUGCGCUAUCAGAUGAGC
This 200-nucleotide ribosomal RNA is filed under the name uncultured bacterium. Its description in RNAcentral is "partial 16S ribosomal RNA". It matches the Rfam family "Bacterial small subunit ribosomal RNA", at positions 30 to 230 of the family's 1533-position model. The record is from RNAcentral.